Molecule: long non-coding RNA, 2315 nt
Filed under: Canis lupus familiaris (dog)
Lineage: Eukaryota; Metazoa; Chordata; Mammalia; Carnivora; Canidae
Description: lncRNA (ENSCAFG00000058743.1, ENSCAFG00845023496.1)
Source: RNAcentral
UUUUUUUUUUUCAGGUAGGCUCCAUGCCCAAUGUGGGGUUUAUUUUUUUUAAAAGAUUUUAUUUAUUUAUUCAUGAGAGGCACAGAGAGAGAGAGGCAGAGACAUAAGCAGAGGGAGAAGCAGGCUCUAUGCAGGGAGCCCGAUGUGGGACUCCAUCCCGGGACUCCAGGACCACACCCUGGACCAAAGGCAGGCACUAAACUGCUGAGCCACCCAGGAAUCCCCAAUUAUCCCAUCUUUAGCCAAUGAGAUCCUAAGUUGGUUCCUGACUUUUUCUGACAAGACUCUUCAUCUUUGGUAGCUUCUUUGUUGUCUAGUGUAACAAGAUGUUGUGUGUUCAUCUCAUGAUUUCCCUGCCCUAGACCAGGAACUAGACAUUUCUUCAAGGAUCCCUGGAUCCCUUUAGGGCAAAGAGUAUUUCAAAACCACAAUUCUGGGGUAUUGCCACUGCAGACUUUAUUUCUAGGUCAUUUCGAUGGAAAGAAUUAGGAAAUAGGUUUUUUGUUUCUGUUUUAAAUAGCUUGAGGUAUAAGUGACAUACUAGUGCACAUAUUUAAAAUGUGUCUACACCUGAGAACCUUUCACCACAAUGAAGAGAGUGAACAUAUCCAUCACCCCAAAAGUUUCUUCAGGCUUCUUUGUAAUCCCUUCUAUUAUCUCUCCCCUCCCCUCUGUAAAUACCCGUCCUCUCAGUUAUUCAGGCAACUGUUUUUAAACAUAAGAUACAACCUUAAUUCAUUAUCAGUUCAAAAUCUCUUCUAGUUUAACAUCUGAAUUUCCCUUCUCUGAUGCUGAGAAUACUGGUUCUCAGCAACACUGGGAAUGACAGAAUUGGAGUAUUACACAAUUACUCAUUUGUUUUAUUCAUUACAGUAAAUGCUUCUUAAAUGUUAGUUCCCUGCAAUGCUCUACCCCUUCCCCUUAUGAAGGGUGAAGAAUUCUUCACCAUAAUUUUUCCUUCUAAUAUUUACAAAGAACAGAGACAGGUCUUUUCAUCUUGAACUUCCUGAGAGGCCUUUGGUUAGGAGUCCUCAUUAAUUUCUGGAAGGGGUCUGUGCAGAGAUGAUCUUGGCCUCAAGAUAUACAAAGGAGUGUCCUGAAAGACAGCAAUGUAGUUUGGCCUGGGUCCAGAAAACCAGGAGAUCUUCAUCUGGGUGGGGGCUAGUAGAGACAGACAGGUUGACAGGCGAUUAUAUCCACUAUGGUAACUGCUACCAUGGAGGGGUAUGAGAGGCUGUGGAAUGCGUAGGAGGGGUCCAUGUGCCAACUUUGCUCCUGCUGUUCAGGGAAAGAAGAGGAUAUCUAUGUGGGGUCCUGAAGAGAAGCAGGAAUGAGUGAUGUUGGGACUUAAUAGUGAAGAGGGAGAAGGGAUUUUCAGGUACAGAAGCAGCAACAGGCAAAAGGCCCAGAAAUAGGAGAGAGUAUGGCUCCUUAGAUAAACUGUAAAUAAAGGGCUAACUGUAAUUUGAGUAGUGAGAAGGAAGGUGUGAGAAAGUUUUGGUUAUCUUCUAUGCCGCCUUGUACAUGGCAAGUGCUCCAUAUGUCCAGGUUUCAGGAAAAGUACAUAUUUAUUAACAGCAAUGACAACAAUAGCUGGUAGCAAUGACCAAGUGAAGUAUCCUGUGCCAGGAACUUUUAAUAAAUUAUCUCAUUUAAUGAUCACAACACUACUGCUAGGCAGGCAUUCUCUUUUUGCACGCAAGAAAACAAGUUCAGAAAAGAUCAAACCACACAACUACUAGGCCUAAAGUUAUACAUCUACUAUGAGUCAGGGUAGAGAUUCAUGGUAGAGAAUAGACAUCUGGAGGGCUUGCUCAACCCCUCCAAGCCCCGCAAUCCUCCCAGGAGAAAUGGAGGUAGUAAUACUCACCUCGUGGGGAGCCAUGAGGGGGGUUAACCAAGAUAAUGACUAAGCAGGACUUAACAGAGUACUCAGCACAUUGUUAAGUACUCAGUAAACAUCUCCUAUGAUUAUGUUAGUGUGUUAUAUAAUAAUUUUAUAUAUUCCAUAGUAUUACGACUAACAAGUGAAUGAACGAAUUAGUAAAUUAAUGCAUGAGUGAAUGAAGUCAUUUAACUUCAAUUUAAAUCCUGACUUUGGCCAAGGGUAGAGGUGAACUUUAAUAUUCUUUGUCCUGUGGACUGGGAAUGACUAAAUGUGUUGUGGUAUUGUUAUUUUGUUUGUUUUAUUGUUUUUGUUUUAGAUAAAACCUAACAACAUGAGCAGGCUUCAGCCAAAAGUUCUCCCAAUUCUUGGACAAGGAUUCAUCCAGGUGAGCUAGAAGGUGAGGGAUUAAGGAAGCUGGCUUCCUAUU